GUUGAACGCUUGAAUUUCACCGAAGCUUGCUUCACCGAAAUUCAAGAGUAGCGAACGGGUGAGUAACGCGUGGAUAACCUGCCUUAUAGCGGGGGAUAACUAUUGGAAACGAUAGCUAAUACCGCAUAACAAUGACUGACACAUGUUAGUUAUUUGAAAGUACCAAUUGGUACACUAUGAGAUGGAUCCGCGUUGUAUUAGCUAGUUGGUAGUGUAACGGACUACCAAGGCGAUGAUACAUAGCCGACCUGAGAGGGUGAUCGGCCACACUGGGACUGAGACACGGCCCAGACUCCUACGGGAGGCAGCAGUAGGGAAUCUUCGGCAAUGGACGAAAGUCUGACCGAGCAACGCCGCGUGAGUGAAGAAGGUUUUCGGAUCGUAAAACUCUGUUGUUAGAGAAGAACGUUGAUUAGAGUGGAAAAUUAAUCAAGUGACGGUAUCUAACCAGAAAGGGACGGCUAACUACGUGCCAGCAGCCGCGGUAAUACGUAGGUCCCGAGCGUUGUCCGGAUUUAUUGGGCGUAAAGCGAGCGCAGGUGGUUUCUUAAGUCAGAUGUAAAAGGCAGUUGCUCAACGAUUGUAUGCAUUUGAAACUGGGAGACUUGAGUGCAGUAGAGGAGAGUGGAAUUCCAUGUGUAGCGGUGAAAUGCGUAGAUAUAUGGAGGAACACCGG
This 676-nucleotide ribosomal RNA is filed under the name Streptococcaceae bacterium RF196. Its description in RNAcentral is "bacterial SSU rRNA". It matches the Rfam family "Bacterial small subunit ribosomal RNA", at positions 61 to 712 of the family's 1533-position model. The record is from RNAcentral. Lineage: Bacteria; Bacillati; Bacillota; Bacilli; Lactobacillales; Streptococcaceae.